RNAcentral lists this ribosomal RNA (307 nucleotides) under Cylindrotheca closterium. RNAcentral describes it as "partial Bacterial large subunit ribosomal RNA". It matches the Rfam family "Bacterial large subunit ribosomal RNA", at positions 2614 to 2917 of the family's 2925-position model. Lineage: Eukaryota; Bacillariophyta; Bacillariophyceae; Bacillariales; Bacillariaceae. The record is from RNAcentral.
GAACGUCGUGAGACAGUUCGGUCCCUAUCUGGUGUGGGCGUUGGAUGAUUGAUGGGAGCUGCUCCUAGUACGAGAGGACCGGAGUGGACGAACCGCUGGUGUUCGGGUUGUCAUGCCAAUGGCAUUGCCCGGUAGCUACGUUCGGAACGGAUAACCGCUGAAAGCAUCUAAGCGGGAAGCCGGCCCAAAGAUGAGUCAUCCCUGACUUUUAAAGUCCGGAAGGGUUGUUAUAGACGAUGACGUUGAUAGGCAGGGUGUGGAAGCGUUGUAAGGCGUUAAGCUAACCUGUACUAAUUGCCCGAGAGGC